UACGAAGGGGGCUAGCGUUGCUCGGAAUGACUGGGCGUAAAGGGCGCGUAGGCGGGUUGUACAGUCAGGCGUGAAAUUCCCGGGCUCAACCUGGGGGCUGCGCUUGAGACGUGCGAUCUUGAGUGGGGAAGAGGGUCGUGGAAUUCCCAGUGUAGAGGUGAAAUUCGUAGAUAUUGGGAAGAACACCGGUGGCGAAGGCGGCGACCUGGUCCUUGACUGACGCUGAGGCGCGAAAGCGUGGGGAGCAAACAGG
RNAcentral lists this ribosomal RNA (253 nucleotides) under uncultured bacterium. Its description in RNAcentral is "partial 16S ribosomal RNA". It matches the Rfam family "Bacterial small subunit ribosomal RNA", at positions 524 to 776 of the family's 1533-position model. The record is from RNAcentral.